This 524-nucleotide ribosomal RNA is filed under the name Bacteroides sp. BL14. RNAcentral's name for it is "bacterial SSU rRNA". It matches the Rfam family "Bacterial small subunit ribosomal RNA", at positions 8 to 521 of the family's 1533-position model. Lineage: Bacteria; Pseudomonadati; Bacteroidota; Bacteroidia; Bacteroidales; Bacteroidaceae. The record is from RNAcentral.
AGAGUUUGAUCCUGGCUCAGGAUGAACGCUAGCUACAGGCUUAACACAUGCAAGUCGAGGGGCAGCGGGAUUGAAGCUUGCUUCAAUUGCCGGCGACCGGCGCACGGGUGAGUAACGCGUAUCCAACCUUCCGUACACUCAGGGAUAGCCUUUCGAAAGAAAGAUUAAUACCUGAUGGUAUGAUGAGAUUGCAUGAUAGCAUCAUUAAAGAUUCAUCGGUGUACGAUGGGGAUGCGUUCCAUUAGGUAGUAGGCGGGGUAACGGCCCACCUAGCCGACGAUGGAUAGGGGUUCUGAGAGGAAGGUCCCCCACAUUGGAACUGAGACACGGUCCAAACUCCUACGGGAGGCAGCAGUGAGGAAUAUUGGUCAAUGGACGAGAGUCUGAACCAGCCAAGUAGCGUGAAGGAUGAAGGUCCUACGGAUUGUAAACUUCUUUUAUAAGGGAAUAAACCCUCCCACGUGUGGGAGCUUGUAUGUACCUUAUGAAUAAGCAUCGGCUAACUCCGUGCCAGCAGCCGCGGU